AUGAACCAUGGAAGCUGGAGGAGAAAGCAAGACCCCCCGUCCCAUAUUUGUACCGAUCGCAAGAAAAGAUGUGUGGUCGUCAACGGGGUGGUGUACUUCUUGAUGGACUUUUAUUCGACAUACUUGGAAACUGGGGUUAUAACCAUUGAGCCGGGUAGCGUAGCUUCGUUCAACCUGGAGACAGAAGAGUGGGGUGUUCUACAUGGUCCACAACAGGUGCUGAGGUUUGUGCAUGAGAAGGGUUACAGUCCCAUAUCAUUGGCUGAACUGAAUGGCUGUUUAGUUAUGGUUCACAAUAUUUAUCACAUAUCUAUGGACUUGUGGGUUUUGCUAGAUUUUCAGAAAUGUAUCUGGGUUAAGAAAUACAACAUGCCAUCCCAUGUUGCUAGGCCUUGUAGGUACCCUUUCCUGAUGUUAGAUGAUGGGAGGAUCUUUUUCAGUGAAGAGCAUUAUCUACAAUGUAUCCUUGGUAAUGGAGAGCCAGGAGAGGUAUUUCUGUGA
Molecule: ribosomal RNA, 501 nt
Filed under: Triticum aestivum (bread wheat)
Lineage: Eukaryota; Viridiplantae; Streptophyta; Magnoliopsida; Poales; Poaceae
Description: partial small subunit ribosomal RNA
Source: RNAcentral